Molecule: RNA transcript, 1513 nt
Organism: Helianthus annuus (common sunflower)
Lineage: Eukaryota; Viridiplantae; Streptophyta; Magnoliopsida; Asterales; Asteraceae
Gene name: thiosulfate/3-mercaptopyruvate sulfurtransferase 1, mitochondrial
Exons: 13
Source: RefSeq, a predicted model, not a curated record
CCAGGGGGGUGGAUAGCAUUUCUUUAUUACUCCAGGGGCUGAUAUACUUGAGGAAUCCAAACCCUUUUCCUCAUCAUCUUCAUCAUCAUCAUCAUCAUCGUACUGUUUUGGGUAGAGUGGACAGAAAACAAGAGUGAAAUUAGUCUUCUUAACACCACCACCAACAAGAUUUUCAUCAACCGAUCACCAAUUUUGAUAUUCAUAUGGUGUUUAUAUUAUCUUUUGAGGGUUUCUGAUCAAAUGGCAUCCGCCUUUCUUUCAAGAACACUUUUUGCUCAUCGUUUCGUUCCCUCUUUCUCAACCAAUCAAAAAUUAGCUUCCUUUUUCUUUAAGAAACCCCUUCAGUCGUGGGCUAGCCCAACCCAUACAGCAUACAGGAGGACUACCUUGGUUCGCGGCGAUAUGGCUACACGCGUGGCUGGAUCCACUGCUUCUUUUUCAACACGGUCUUUGUCAACUGGUGAGCCUGUUGUCUCGGUUGACUGGCUCCAUGCCAAUUUGCGCGAGCCUGAUUUGAAGGUGCUGGAUGCAUCCUGGUACAUGCCUGAUGAACAGAGAAAUCCACUCCAGGAGUACCAGGUUGCCCACAUUCCUGGUGCUCUUUUCUUUGAUGUAGAUGGGAUAUCUGAUCGAACGACUAAUCUGCCACACAUGUUGCCAUCUGAGGAAGCAUUUGCCGCUGCUGUUUCUGCUCUUGGUAUUGAAAACAAAGAUGGAGUUGUUGUUUAUGAUGGUAAAGGGAUCUUCAGCGCUGCUCGUGUCUGGUGGAUGUUCCGAGUUUUUGGGCAUGAUAGAGUAUGGGUAUUAGAUGGAGGGCUUCCCAGAUGGCGUGCUUCGGGAUUCGAUGUUGAAUCAAGUGCUUCUGGUGAUCAAAUUUUGAAAGCCAGUGCUGCCAGCGAGGCAAUAGAGAAAGUGUACCAAGGCCAGCCUGUUGGUCCAGUUACAUUUCAAACUAAAUAUCAGCCGCAUCUUGUAUGGACACUUGAACAGGUUAAAAAGAACACAGACGACCAAACACAUCAACACAUAGAUGCCCGGUCAAAAGCCAGGUUUGAUGGUGUCGCAGCUGAGCCUCGUAAAGGAAUAAGAAGUGGCCAUGUACCUGGGAGUACGUGCAUUCCGUUUGCCCAGAUGUUAGACAGCUCACAGACACUGCUAUCCGCAGAUCAGCUCAAGAACAAGUUUGAACAAGAGGGAAUCGCAUUGGACAAACCUGUCAUGGCUUCAUGUGGGACAGGAGUUACUGCAUGCAUUCUUGCAUUGGGACUUCAUCGACUUGGGAAGACAGAUGUUCCGGUUUAUGAUGGAUCUUGGACAGAAUGGGGAGCACACGAAGACACACCAGUUGCCACUUCACCUUCAGCUCAAAGUUCUUGACAUUAAUGAAUGUUUUAACUUUUAAUGUGGUGGUGAUUUCAACUUGAAAGAUUUUCUGUUUUGGUUAAACAUGUUUUUGCCUAUGUGGUUAAACAAGGAAUCAAGUAUCAAUUCGGUUAAGGUUGUGUGUUUAAGA